ACAAGGUAUUCAAUGCUGCUUUCUUUCUCUCCUCCAUGAUGACCUCUGCUGUUGAUGUAUUCUUGCCUACACAGAUUUAGGAACAUCCUGAACUUGGAAAUGGAUACUCCUUUGGGAUGCCCCUAUAUCAGCUUUAGCUGAGACCACCAGAUUUGUCUGCAUGGGAAACACUACUGUUACUCUGAUAGGCAUCAAGUUGGAUCCCUGAAGCUUCUCCAAGAUGUUUUCAAGCCACUAGGAAGUGUUUUUGCCAUCACCACAAAGAGGAGGAUGUGAGUAGACCAAGAUGCCCUGGGAUGUAAGGAAGGAGAGGCUGUCCUGUCAGGGAGGUCUAUUGUGAAAUGAAACUAAAGUAUGAUACUUUAGCUAGUUGUGAAUUAAAUGGCGUUUAUGAUCUAGCCUGAGCCCCAUUCAAAAUUCGUCAUAUUAUUUUAUAGGAAACAUAUUAAGUAAACUUUUGGUUGGAGAUAAAUUACAAUAUUUUUUUCUUUCUUUUUUUUAACAAGUGGCUGCACCUGUGGCAUAUGGAAGUUCCUGACCAGGAGUCGAGCCACAGCCAUUGUAGAAGCAACACCGAGUAGU
RNAcentral lists this long non-coding RNA (582 nucleotides) under Sus scrofa (pig). RNAcentral describes it as "lncRNA (ENSSSCG00060033742.1)". The record is from RNAcentral. Lineage: Eukaryota; Metazoa; Chordata; Mammalia; Artiodactyla; Suidae.